UGAGUAACCUGCCCUUAACUCUGGGAUAAGCCUGGGAAACUGGGUCUAAUACCGGAUAUGACUCCUCAUCGCAUGGUGGGGGGUGGAAAGCUUUAUUGUGGUUUUGGAUGGACUCGCGGCCUAUCAGCUUGUUGGUAAGGUAAUGGCUUACCAAGGCGACGAUCAGUAGCCGACCUGAGGAGGGUGAUCGGCCACAUUGGAACUGAGACACGGUCCAAACUCCGUACGGGAGCAG
Molecule: ribosomal RNA, 235 nt
Filed under: uncultured bacterium
Lineage: Bacteria
Description: partial 16S ribosomal RNA
Rfam family: Bacterial small subunit ribosomal RNA
Source: RNAcentral